RNAcentral lists this long non-coding RNA (1500 nucleotides) under Amborella trichopoda. RNAcentral describes it as "long non-coding RNA (ATRI_LNC005261)". The record is from RNAcentral. Lineage: Eukaryota; Viridiplantae; Streptophyta; Magnoliopsida; Amborellales; Amborellaceae.
UAAGAAGGGGGAACCUAUCACCAUGGUCUCUGCUUAUGAUUACCCAUCAGCUCUUCAUCUUGACCGAGCGGGAAUUGAUAUUUGUCUGGUUGGUGAUUCUGCAGGUAUUCACAUACAUACCGAAAAAUAAGGUUCAAGCCGAUUUGCUCGGUGUGUCCGAGUUACUCGCCCGAGUCAAGCUCGUAAAUUUUUUAAAAAGAAAAUCACGAAACAAUAUUGUGUAUAUAUAAUAGCGGCAACUUUAAUUUAUUAGGUGUAUAUAUAAAAUGGAGGCUGCUAGUGUUAUGGCUUGCUGGUUAGUACUCCUUCUUCUUAAAUUCGAUGGGUUGUGAGUUCGGGAUAUUUUCUUUAACUCUUUUUUGCUUUUAAUAAUGGUUUGAAUUUAUUUUGAAGUUUUUUUUUUUCAUAACUCUCUUAAAAAAUAUAUUUUUUAACUCUAUAUUUUUUUUUAAUGGCUUGGAUUUAUUUUUUAGCUUUAUUUUUCUUAAUGGCUUGGAUUUAUUUUUUUAACUCUAUUUUUUUUAAUUGCUUGGAUUUAUUUUGUUAACUCUAUUUUUCUUCAUGGCUUGGAGUUAUUUUGGAGGUCUUUUUUUCCAUAAACUCUCUUUAAGAAAAAGUUCUCAUGUCUCGUGGGUCUAUAAGAGGUAUUGAGCUCGAUUAGGGGAGGCUCCAUAUUUUUUUUGAACUCCUUUUAUCUGAUCUCUUUUAAAAAAAAAAAUUCAAACAUCUCAUGAAUUCUAAAAAACAACCCCUCAAUUUUUCGUAAUUGAUCCCAUUUUUAUAACUUUUUAAAAAAAUCUUACAUUUUGUGAGGUCUAAAAAUCCGAGAUGUGAUAGAAAAUGCACCCCCACUUUAGCGGAAUGUUCAUUCAUACUCUAUGGUAGUCAAUCGAUAUUGGAAAAAAAAAUAUAAACAUUAUUGUUGAGCAAUUAGAGAAAAUAAUAGAUUUUAUAAUUUUUAAUAAUUCAUCUAUAUUACCUCUUAAAUUAGUUGAUAUUUGAGAAAAAAACUUCUUUGGUAGAGGGCUUUCAAAAGCUUCAAAACAAAGUAAUCAUCAGAAAAAAUUGUUGAGUAAUUAAAGAGAAAUAAUAGAUUUGGUUAUUUUUUGACAGAUUAUUGAUAUUACCUCUUUGAUACACAAAAUCAAUCGAUCUUGGACAAAAAAGCUAUGGAUCUGUAGAGUGCUUUUGAAGAUUGAUUUCAAAAACUUCAAAACAAAUUAAACCUCAUCCCAUUUGGUGUAGAAACGAGUUAGAACAGAUAGGUUUGGCAGGGAAAAAAAAAUCGCAUAAGGAACUCUUUGUUGUACGAAAUCGAUCGGGAAUGGAGAAAUUAAACCAGGGAUAUUUGGAGGGCUGUUGAAGCUAAUAUCAAAAUCUUCAAAAGAAGCCAAACCUGAUCUGAUUUGAUGUAGAAAUGAGAUAGAACAGGAAGGUUUGGCGCAAAAAAAAUAAAAUUGCAUAAAGAGUUGUUGCACGAAAUCGGUCCACAAAUAAAAU